This 405-nucleotide ribosomal RNA is filed under the name uncultured bacterium. RNAcentral's name for it is "bacterial SSU rRNA". It matches the Rfam family "Bacterial small subunit ribosomal RNA", at positions 355 to 776 of the family's 1533-position model. The record is from RNAcentral.
UAGGGAAUAUUAGUUAAUGUGCGAAAGCGCGAACUAGCAACGCCGCGUGUGCGAUGACGGCCUUCGGGUUGUAAAGCACUUUUGAAGGGGAAAAGGAAGGAUGGUACCCUUCGAAUAAGCCUCGGCUAACUACGUGCCAGCAGCCGCGGUAAAACGUAGGAGGCGAGCGUUAUCCGGAUUUACUGGGCGUAAAGCGCGUGCAGGUGGUUGGGUAAGUUGGAUGUGAAAGCUCCUGGCUUAACUGGGAGAGGUCGUUCAAUACUACCUAACUUGAGUGUGGGAGAGGGAGGUGGAAUUCCGGGUGUAGUGGUGAAAUGCGUAGAUAUCCGGAGGAACACCAGUGGCGAAAGCGGCCUCCUGGCCCAUUACUGACACUCAGACGCGAAAGCUAGGGUAGCAAACGGG